Molecule: microRNA precursor, 99 nt
Filed under: Haemonchus contortus (barber pole worm)
Lineage: Eukaryota; Metazoa; Nematoda; Chromadorea; Rhabditida; Trichostrongylidae
Description: microRNA hco-mir-5930 precursor
Source: miRBase by way of RNAcentral
CAGUUCUGAGACCGAUGUUAAGCAGGGGCGACGUAGAACACAUGCACGUGAAUGCAUGAGUUGCUAGUCGCCCGACACCACUAGACGACGACAGCAACC